AAUGAAAAGAAUGAGGUUAACAGGGAGUUGAGGAUUUUUCAUUGUAAGGGUGGUUGCCUCUCUCUGCAUCAGCCUAUGAUUGUCCAUUCUUGCAAGAAUCCCAACAACCCUUUUAUUGAUUUUGACAAAGGAAAAUAUAUAGUGAACAUCAUCUGUUUGAAAGGUUUUUUACACCCUUCAACUCUUUUUUUCCUCUCUUUUUUGCUAGUGGUUCUGUUGGAGCAUUCAGUUCUGAGUACAUUCGGUGACUUAAAGAGGCAAUGAUGAUUUUGUCAUAUUUUAUUCCUUUCUGAGCUGAUUAAUUGAGCAUUUGACGUUAUCUGACUCGUAUCUUGGCGGGGCAUGCCACCAGAUUUUCUGAUGAUUUUGCAGCCACGGCGUUGUUGGUCUCUCUUGCUUCCUGAGCUUAAUACAGAUCUGAGCCUCAGUUUUAUUUCAGCUUUGAUUUGUUUUAUAUUUAGGGUGUGUUUGGUAUGAAAGAAAAUAUUUUCUAGAGUUGAGAAACAAACAACAACAACAACGUACGCAGUGUAUUCCCACCUAGUGGAGUCGAAGGAGGGUAAAAUGUACGCAGUCCAUACCACCACCUCCGAAGAAGUGGAGAGGUUGUUUCCGAUAGACCUCCGGUUCAAAAACAAAAAGAUAAUAAAUACAGUCAUAAUAAAACAUGAGACAAGGUGAGAUAAUAGAAAAUACGAAACCCACAAAGCAAUACUAUAAACUACCAAACCGCAAGCCCCUCCCUCUCCCAACCUUCCUAACUAGAGACUUCACCCUAUGUGCAAAGUAUUACGACUACUGGCAAGGUUACCCUAAAACACAACUAUUAGCAGGCUACGACUCGCUCACAUGCACUAACUUUCUACCCUAUUUCGUGCUCUCCAUACCUUCCUAUAUAGGGUCAUGCCCGCAGUAAGCUGUAACUGCUCCAUGUCAUGUCUAAUCACCUCCCGUAGUACUUCUUUGGCCUACUUUUGCCCAGCCUAAAACCAUCCAAAGCUAAUCAGAAGGAAAAGAAUGAGGCCACACUGAGUUGAGGAUUUUCAUUGAAAAGGUGGUUUCCUCUCUCUGCAUUCAGCCAAUGAUUUCUCCAUUAAUCUAAGAACCCCAACAACCCUUUUUCCAAUUUCAAACAAAGGGAGUAUAUUAGUAACAUGUCGUUUGGAUUGUUGUUACAUAUUGUUUCAGAGGGUUUCUAUGACCUUCAACUCAUUUUUUUUUCUGUCUUUCUUAUUAAUGCUUCGCCGGACUUUGAAUGUUGCCGGUGGAGCUGGUGUUGCUGGUGGAGCUGGUGGAAGCAGCGCUGGUGAGUAUUAUUGGUGGCUUUAAAGAGGCAAUGAUGAUUUUUGCCAGUUUUAUUCCCUUCUGAGCUGCUUCAUCGAGCAUUUGAGAUUAUCCGACACGUAUCUUGGCGGGGCAUGUUCUCAGAUUUUCUGUUGGUUUUGCAGCCAUAGCAUGGUUGGACUCUCUUCUUUCUUGAGUUUAAUACAGAUCUGAGCCUCACUUUCUCUAUCAGUUUAGGACUUGAAUAAAGCGACAAGCUCAGAAGGAAAACAAUGAGGCUAACAGGGAGUUGAGGGUUUUUCAUUGAAAGGGUGGUUGCCUCUCUCAGUGUACAGCCAAUGAUUUCUCCAUUAAUUUCAGAACCCCAACAAUCCUCUUAUCUAUCUAUCUAUCUAUAUAUCUUAUACUAUAUAUCUUUGAGAAGUAACUUGAACCUUUUGCACUUCAUUAAAAAUCUUCGCAAUAUACAAAAUCAUCUAAUUUUAAAUAGUCAAAGUUUACACACGGAGGCACGUGCAGUUAAACUAGUAUUAUAUUAAAAGCACGAAGGCCCUAGCAAAAUGCCAUUUGCAUCUUUUAAUCCUUUUAAAAUAGUGUCCACACCGGACAAAAUAGUUAUUUAAUUAUUUUUCUAAUAUUUAGUGAUAGUCAUUUAAUAACUCUCCCACCGAGCAUUCAGUGUUUCUGUUGGGGGUUGUGGAAGCGUGUGGGGGUGAGUAUAAUCAGUGGUUUGAAAGAGGGGAUGAAGAUUUUGUCAAUUUUUAAUGCCCUUCUGAGCUGAUUUAUCGGGCAUUUGAGGUUAUCUGACCUGUAUUUUGGCGGGGCAUGCCACCAGAUUUUCUGGUAGCUUUUGCAGCCACGGCGUUGUUGGACUCUCUUUUUGCCUGAACUAACACAGAUCUGAGCUUCAAUUUACUGCUCUUUUCGUCAAUUUUAUCUGAGGGAGUAUUAUUAACAACUUCAGGCUCAAAAGGAAAAGAAUGAGUCUAACAGGGAGUUGAGGAUUUUUCAUUGAAAGGGUGGUUGCCUCUCUCUGCUUCAACCUAUGAUUUCUCCAUUCUCGCAAGAAUCCCAACAACCCUUUUAUUGAUUCUGAACGAGAGGAAACUGUUAUGAAUUGGACAAAAUAAACAAACCAACAAGCAAAAGAAUAACCCAGACAGAGGCAGAGGAAUUCACUAUAAUGGAGAGAGAGUACAAAGUUAGAGACGCUGGUCUCAAUUUCGUGUGUAUAAGAAUAGCCCAAAACAGCCCACUAAAUCGCACGUAUAUAAUAUGUGCGUACAAAUAGGUCCUAGGCCCAAAAACAUAAAAGGUUCAUACCGCUAGGGCUUCACCCCCGCACCCAUUGGGAUCAGUGGUGGGCCCGAUCCAUAUGCUACCAUCACUGACCCCAUUGAAAAUCACAAACAUGGGGCGCACCGCGAAAUUUUUAGGGCCGAUCAACAAAAUUCGGGUCACAACUCUAACAGAAACAUAUAGUUAACAUCAUUUGUUUGAAAGGUUUUCUACACCCUUCAACUCUUUUUUUCCUUUUUUUUUUUUCUAAUGGUUCUGUUGGAGCAUUCAAUGCUGUGUAUAAUCGGUGGCUUUAAAGAGUCGAUGAUGAUUUUGUCAUAUUUUAUUCCCUUCUGAGCUGACUGAUUAAUUGAGCAUUUGAAGUUUCCGACGCGUAUCUUGGCGGGGCAUGCCACCAGAUUUUCUGGUGGUUUUGCAGCCAUGGCGUUGUUGGACUCUCUUACUGCCCAAGCUUAAUACAGAUCUGAGCCUCAAUUUUUCUCUAUUCAGCUUGGAUUUGUUUUAUAAUUAGGGAGUGUUCGGUAUGAAGGAAAAUAUUUUCUAGAGUUGAGAAACAUAAAGCAAAAAUAUCAGAAGAGUUGAGGAUUUUCAUUGAAAGGGUGGUUGCCUCUCUCUGCAUUCAGCCAAUGAUUUCUCCAUUAAUACUUUCUUGUGGUUUUUGCAGCCAUGGCAUGUUUGGACUCUCUUUUUUGCCUGAGCUUAACACAGAUCUGAGCCUCACUUUCUCUGUCAGUAAAGGGAAUUGAACAAAGCAAAAGUUCAAAAGGGAAAGAAUGAGGCCACUGAGAGUUUAGGGAUUUUUCAUUGAAAGGGUGGUUGCGCCUCUCUGCAUCAGCCAGUGAUUUCUCUAUUACUGUAAGAACCCCAAUAGCCCUUUAUCAAUUUUUAUCGGAUGGAUAAUAUUAACUGCUUACUUGGAUGGUUGCUUACAUAUGAGAAAUAUAAAAGAAGAAUAUUAUUGAAUUGGGUAUCUGCAUUAUUACAAUGAGACCCUAGGACGCUACAUUACAAUCCUUUUCCAAGUAGGUUCUAUGUACUAUUCCUAUUCCCACUCCUAUUCUAACAGUUUCUUUACCCUUCCACACCCUUCCACGCUAUGCUAAUACAAUGCGUUCCUUUUUUCUAAUGCUUCUGCCAGAGCAUUGAGUGCUGCACGGCUGGUGGGGGUGGUGGAAGCUGUGGGUGAGCAUAAUCAGUGGCUUGAAAGAGGCAAUGAUAAUUUUGUCAAAUUUUAAUGCGUUUGAGCUAUUGGGCAUUUGAUGUUAUCUAACCCGUAUCUUGGUGGGGCAUGUCACCAGAUUUUCUGGUGGUUUUUGCAGCCAUGGUAUUGUUGGAUUCUCUUGUUGCCAAGUUCAACACAGAUCUAGCUUCAAUUCUUUAUAUCAAUUGGGGGAAUAUUAUUAUUUAGUGUUCGUUUGGUAUUGGAGACGAGUUAUUUAAGUGCUGCUACAUCUGAUUGAUGGCUUGAAAGAGGGUGAUAAUUUUUGUCUAAUUUUAUGCCCUUCUGAGCUUAUUAAUUGGGCAUUCAAGGUUAUCCAGCCAGUAUCUUGGCAGGGAAUGCUCCUAGAUUUUCUGGUGGUUUUUGCAGCCAUUGCGUGGUUGGACUCUCUUUUUGCUUGUGCUUACAACAGAUCUUAAGCCGCAAUUAUUCUCUAUCCAGCUUGGAUUUUAUUUAUUUAUUUAUGGUGUGUUUAGUAUGAAUAUUAAACGGAGGGAGUAUAUUAUUAACAGCCUGCUUGGAUUGUUGUCAUAUAUUGUUUCAAAGGGUUUUAAUGCCCUUCAACUCUUUUUUCUCUUUCCCCCUUUUAAUGCUUCCGCUGGAGCAUUGAAUGUUGCUCGACGACUCGAAAGAGGUGAUGAUGAUCUUUGUCAAUUUUUAAGCCCUUCUGAGCUGUUAAUUGGGCAUUUGAGGUUAUCUGACCCGUAUCUUGGCGGGGCAUGCACCAGAUUUUCUGGUGGUUUUUGCAGCCAUGGCGUUGUUGGAUUUUCUUGUUGCCCAAGCUCAACACAGAUCUGAGCUUCA
Long non-coding RNA from Capsicum annuum, 4606 nucleotides. RefSeq lists it as uncharacterized. The record is from RefSeq and is a predicted model, not a curated record. Lineage: Eukaryota; Viridiplantae; Streptophyta; Magnoliopsida; Solanales; Solanaceae. The transcript is spliced from 2 exons.